This 885-nucleotide long non-coding RNA is filed under the name Nothobranchius furzeri (turquoise killifish). RNAcentral's name for it is "lncRNA (ENSNFUG00015005242.1)". Lineage: Eukaryota; Metazoa; Chordata; Actinopteri; Cyprinodontiformes; Nothobranchiidae. The record is from RNAcentral.
AUGCUGCGCCACCGGUCCAGGAGGAAGCGGAAAGAAGCGAGCAGCUCUCUGGAGGAAUGUGCCAGGGCCGUGGGGAGUGGUGACCAAACCGACUCGCUGAGGGCCACGUCGCUUCAGGUCUUCAUGGACCUGCUGCAGGACUCCAGUCACACCAUGUGGGGCCUGAACGUCCGAUUGAAGGACUUCAUGGAGCAGGUGAGCCGGCUGCAGGAGGCCAACCGCCAGCUGGAGGCCCAGAUAGCCGACUGGGGUGCCAGGAUCAGCUCGCGCGGUCACAACUGGACCCAGCAGGAGCAGAUCGCCAAGGAGCUCCGUUCUCAGAUCUGUGAACUUCUGAUGGAGAACGCCCAGCUAGCCUUACAGUCCAACAACAUGAAGUCCAGAGCUGCUGAGAUCCAAACCAGGUGUGAGAUGGAGGAGAGGAACACCAGACGUCUGGAGCAGCAAGUUGCUCAGCUCCGGGAGGCAAAGCGGAGGGCGGACGUGCGCGGCGUGACGCUGCAGGAUGAGUGUCACCGCGCCAUGACACAGCUGCAUCACAUGGACCAGGAGUUUCAGGCAGCCCGGGUUCUGCAGCUGCAGCGGGCCGAGUCUUGCGAUGCUCUGUUAGCCGCAUCAGCAGGAGGAGGGGAGGAGGAGGAUGGCACAGGGAUGGAGCUCACCCAGCUCUUCGACCGAAUCAGAGCGCAGUGCGACCAGAGCAGACCUCAGGGCCCGGUCGAGAGGCUCCCAGGACCGAGAGCGGGCUCAGACCCAGCCCCCGGCUCUGCUGGGCCUGACUGGUCCGGAGGUGCAGCAGCAGCUUCCAGAACACUCAGAGGAGCUCUUAAUGAGGUAUGCAUCCUCUCCCACGUCCUCAUCCAUGUCUUGAUUUUCUCUGCAUAA